GACGAACGCUGGCGGCGUGCUUAACACAUGCAAGUCGAACGGAAAGGCCCUGCUUUUGUGGGGUGCUCGAGUGGCGAACGGGUGAGUAACACGUGAGUAACCUGCCCUUGACUUUGGGAUAACUUCAGGAAACUGGGGCUAAUACCGGAUAGGAGCUCCUGCUGCAUGGGGGGGGUUGGAAAGUUUCGGCGGUGGGGGAUGGACUCGCGGCUUAUCAGCUUGUUGGUGGGGUAGGGGCUUACCAAGGCUUUGACGGGUAGCCGGCCUGGGAGGGUGACCGGCCACCUUGGGACUGAGAUACGGCCCAGACUGCUACGGGCGGCAGCGGUGGGGAAUAUUGCACAGUGGGCGGAAGCCUGUUGCAGCAACGCCGCGUGCGGGAUGACGGCCUUCGGGUUGUAAACCGCUUUCGCCUGUGACGAAGCGUGAGUGACGGUAAUGGGUAAAGAAGCACCGGCUAACUACGUG
RNAcentral lists this ribosomal RNA (468 nucleotides) under uncultured bacterium. RNAcentral's name for it is "partial 16S ribosomal RNA". It matches the Rfam family "Bacterial small subunit ribosomal RNA", at positions 28 to 507 of the family's 1533-position model. The record is from RNAcentral.